CCUACGGGAGGCAGCAGUGAGGAAUAUUGGUCAAUGGACGCAAGCCUGAACCAGCCACGCCGCGUGCAGGAAGACGGCCCUAUGAGUUGUAAACUGCUUUUGUACGAGGGUAAACGCAGAUACGCGUAUCUGUCUGAAAGUUACUUACGAAUAAGGAAUGGCUAACUCACUGCCAGCAGCCGCGGUAAUACGGAGGAUUCAAGCGUUAUCCGGAUUUAUUGGGUUUAAAGGGUGCGUAGGCGGGAGGAUAAGUUAGAGGGGAAAACCCGGGGCUCAACUUCGGAAUUGCCUUUGAUACUGUUCGGCUAGAGAGUAGUUGAGGUAGGCGGAAUGUCUGGUGUAGCGGUGAAAUGCUUAGAGAUCAUACAGAACACCGAUUGCGAAGGCAGCUUACCAGGCUACUUCUGACGUUGAGGCACGAAAGCGUGGGGAGCGAACAGGAUUAGAUACCCCAGUAGUC
This 460-nucleotide ribosomal RNA is filed under the name uncultured bacterium. RNAcentral's name for it is "partial 16S ribosomal RNA". It matches the Rfam family "Bacterial small subunit ribosomal RNA", at positions 338 to 795 of the family's 1533-position model. The record is from RNAcentral.